RNAcentral lists this ribosomal RNA (577 nucleotides) under Escherichia coli. RNAcentral describes it as "bacterial SSU rRNA". It matches the Rfam family "Bacterial small subunit ribosomal RNA", at positions 853 to 1429 of the family's 1533-position model. Lineage: Bacteria; Pseudomonadati; Pseudomonadota; Gammaproteobacteria; Enterobacterales; Enterobacteriaceae. The record is from RNAcentral.
UAACGCGUUAAGUCGACCGCCUGGGGAGUACGGCCGCAAGGUUAAAACUCAAAUGAAUUGACGGGGGCCCCGCACAAGCGGUGGAGCAUGUGGUUUAAUUCGAUGCAACGCGAAGAACCUUACCUGGUCUUGACAUCCACGGAAGUUUUCAGAGAUGAGAAUGUGCCUUCGGGAACCGUGAGACAGGUGCUGCAUGGCUGUCGUCAGCUCGUGUUGUGAAAUGUUGGGUUAAGUCCCGCAACGAGCGCAACCCUUAUCCUUUGUUGCCAGCGGUCCGGCCGGGAACUCAAAGGAGACUGCCAGUGAUAAACUGGAGGAAGGUGCGGAUGACGUCAAGUCAUCAUGGCCCUUACGACCAGGGCUACACACGUGCUACAAUGGCGCAUACAAAGAGAAGCGACCUCGCGAGAGCAAGCGGACCUCAUAAAGUGCGUCGUAGUCCGGAUUGGAGUCUGCAACUCGACUCCAUGAAGUCGGAAUCGCUAGUAAUCGUGGAUCAGAAUGCCACGGUGAAUACGUUCCCGGGCCUUGUACACACCGCCCGUCACACCAUGGGAGUGGGUUGCAAAAGAAGUAG